GGGCGUAGCCCGUGUUAAUCCCUAGUUAGGUUAAAUAGAAAGAAACGUCGCUUAAUUAGGAGUUAGAAGAGACGGUCUUUUGAGACACGUGUUGACUAAAUAGCGUUCAUCUCUUUCUCUCUUCCCACUCUGUGUCUCUCUCCCUCUCGUCGACUAUUCUCCAAAAUCUCUCAGACAAUACUCGAUGGCGACGAUUCCUCCCCAAUUCUUCAGAGCAAGUCAAAUAUAUUUCUUCUGUGUGUUAGAUUAUGGACGGAGGAGGUGGCGACGGUGGUGGUGCCGCGUACAACUCACACACGGUGGGGGAGGUUUUAGGGAUUUUAAGGGUCGUAGGAAUGGCAUGAUUAAGGCUCUAACCACUGGUAAUAUUUGGUCACUCGCUCUUCGUUUUGAUUCUUCUUCUUCCUCCAUUGUCGUUAAAAAUCUCAACUUUUUUAUUGUGUGUGUGUGUGUUUGGCUCUGUUUUGCUGAGUGUUGAAUGAUGCAUUAGGGGUUUUGAUAGUUUCUCUGAAUUAUGAGCAAUAAAGGAGUAAAGUUUUGUUUUUUGUUUGUGGGAUUGAUUUCCUCCGAUGAAAGUCUUUGCUUUUUCUGUUUGAGUUGUCUUCCUUGUGCUCUGCUUCUCUGAGUUCUCCUUGAAGGCGGAGUAAAGUUUAGAUUUUUGAAUAUUGAUUUUCAAAAUAAUGUCGUUCUGUGUGAAAUCUAGUUUGGUAGUGUCACAAGUUCUUGAUGAGCAGAAGCUGUGUCAGAUACGAAGAAAGCUAUUGAGUUGGAUCCUGCAUUGGCCAAAGCUUACUUAAGAAAAAGAUGAAUUGGCCACUAGAGGUUGUGGCUUUGUUUCCUCAGCUACUUGGAUACAGCAUGGAGAAGGGAUUGUGCCUAGGUGUAACGUAAUCAAAGCUCUCAUCGCCAAAGGGUUGCUUGGAAGUGAACCCCUUUCGAUUCCAUGUGUCUUGACAUAUACCAAUGAAGCCUUCUUAAAAAGGUAUGUGAUGAAGCACGAUGAUAAGCAGCUUGUGACUUAGUUAUUAGCCAUCUUCAUGACAGAUAGUAAUAAAAUAGAUUAGAAAAGAUAUAUGUUAGUGUUAUCUUCAGGUUGGCAUCGUACGGUUGUAAUUAUAACGCUUGGUUUAUCGGUUUCAUCAGAAAGAAACAUUUGUUAUGUU
This is a long non-coding RNA of Brassica rapa (field mustard), 1163 nucleotides long. RefSeq lists it as uncharacterized. Lineage: Eukaryota; Viridiplantae; Streptophyta; Magnoliopsida; Brassicales; Brassicaceae. The record is from RefSeq and is a predicted model, not a curated record.